This 522-nucleotide ribosomal RNA is filed under the name uncultured bacterium. Its description in RNAcentral is "bacterial SSU rRNA". It matches the Rfam family "Bacterial small subunit ribosomal RNA", at positions 368 to 907 of the family's 1533-position model. The record is from RNAcentral.
GUCCAUGGCGAGCCUGACGGAGCACGCCGCGUGAGGGAUGAAGGCCUCUGGGCUGUAAACCUCUUUUAUCAAGGAAGAAGAUCUGACGGUACUUGAUGAAUAAGCCACGGCUAAUUCCGUGCCAGCAGCCGCGGUAAUACGGGAGUGGCAAGCGUUAUCCGGAAUUAUUGGGCGUAAAGCGUCCGCAGGCGGCCCUUCAAGUCUGCUGUUAAAAAGUGGAGCUUAACUCCAUCAUGGCAGUGGAAACUGUUGGGCUUGAGUGUGGUAGGGGCAGAGGGAAUUCCCGGUGUAGCGGUGAAAUGCGUAGAUAUCGGGAAGAACACCAGUGGCGAAGGCGCUCUGCUGGGCCAUCACUGACGCUCAUGGACGAAAGCCAGGGGAGCGAAAGGGAUUAGAUACCCCUGUAGUCCUGGCCGUAAACGAUGAACACUAGGUGUCGGGGGAAUCGACCCCCUCGGUGUCGUAGCCAACGCGUUAAGUGUUCCGCCUGGGGAGUACGCACGCAAGUGUGAAACUCAAAGA